Molecule: non-coding RNA, 21 nt
Filed under: Physcomitrium patens
Lineage: Eukaryota; Viridiplantae; Streptophyta; Bryopsida; Funariales; Funariaceae
Source: RNAcentral
UGCCCACCUACCCUUGUGAUA